This 39892-nucleotide long non-coding RNA is filed under the name Phaseolus vulgaris (common bean). RNAcentral describes it as "long non-coding RNA (PVUL_LNC000967)". The record is from RNAcentral. Lineage: Eukaryota; Viridiplantae; Streptophyta; Magnoliopsida; Fabales; Fabaceae.
UUGAAGAGAGGAGUGAGUACUUGGCAGAUAUCACAAAGAGGGAAGUCUUGGGAGGUGGGGAAGAUGAGAGGGAAGCGAGGGUGUUUGGUUGCAAGCUUGUUGGCGUGGUGAAUGGUGCGAUCGCAGCUACGGCAAAGAGCAGCUUCAUCUGCAGGACAGAAGACAGUGGCUUCCAUUUUGUCACACACGUCACACUGGAUCUUCAUCUUAGGUUCUUGGUCGUUUGUGUUGGAAGAGUUAGAAGAGAAAGAGAAGAAGAGGAAGAAGAAGAAGAAGAAGAAGAAGAAGAAGGGGUUUAAUUAAUGGUGGGGUGUAUGAGACAAAAGAAUUAUGGGCGAGUUGGCUUUAGGUUGAGCCCUAUUUAGUGUGUUCUGACUUUGAGAAAAAUCUGGAUUGGGAGAGAGCAAGUUGCAUCUUCUUCUCCAAUUUUUAUUCUCAACAUAUUCCAAAAUCUUUCACUCUCAUUCGCUGUGCUUCUCAACUCUCAGGCAUGGUCUGCGUUAUCCACUUCCUUACCUCUUUCCUUUCCCCUCAAAUACUAUAAUCACUCUUCUAACCCACAAACAAACAAACAUACCUAGCUGCCAUGGAAAACAUAAUUAACCAUAACAUUCUACACUCAUUUUCACACAACCCUACAUAUCCACAUACAAACAAACUAAUCAAACCCUUUUCUUUUGCAUUUUUUUCAUACAAUAAAUCUUAAUAAUUUAAUAUGUUAUCCAUAGAGUAAUAACUUUAAAUCUAGUUAAUACAACACUUUUUUUUAUUUAAUUAUAUUGAAAGACCAUCCAAUUUAAUAUGGUGCUUCUUAAAUAAAAGAAAAUAUUUUUUUCUUUCUUAAAAGCGUGAAUACCUUACCGAAAUCUUACCUUACACUACUUUAUGUAUGUUUCUCGGUAUGAAUAAUAGGUACUACAAUAAAAUCAUUGAAUAAAACUUAAUUUUAGAAAAAAAAAUAAUUAGUUGCUAGAGUGACUAAAUUAUAGAUCAUUUUAGAAUUUAAAAUAAUUUUUUGUUUCUAAAUUAGUUUCUAUUAUUGUUAAAUAGUUUUUAAAUUAAUAUUUAGUUAGCUACCAAUGUUUUUGCUACCAAAUUUAGAAUAUAAUUUUUUUUAAUUUUUAAAAUAGUCUCUAAUUUAGUCACUAUAGCAACUAAUUAUUUUUUUGUCUCUAAAAUUGGUUUCUAUUCAGUGAUUUUCUUGUAAGGAGGAUACAACAUUUCAUCCAAUUUUUACUCUAAAAUAUCACUUUUAAAAUCUUAACUAACUUCUUGUAGGUCUCACCAUGAUUUUUUAGUAAGAGAAUUUAAAAUAUGAUACCUUUUUAUUGGAAAUAUUAUAAAAGAACUCAUUUUUCAUGUCAAAGAUCUUAUCUCUCCUUUUAAAAUUUUGAUAAAAGAUUUAAAACUAAAGAUGCUUUUAGAGUAAAAAUUGUAAGGAUGUAGAUGUAUUCUUAAGAUGGACAUGCCUAUAAUUAAUUUAUUAUAUUUUUUUUAUCAGCAAAGAAUAAAUAAAAUAAAAUGAGACAUCUCAGGGUGUCUCAACCCUUAAUUAUACAAAAAACCCAAAACAAGUUUCCUAGCACCCUACCAACUAAGGAUCCAACAUACACUACACUACAAACCAAAAUAAUAAACUAGAUCAAGAUAUAGAAACUCAACAAAUACAAUUACAUCAAGCACCAAAGAGAUCCCACUCUCAAUAUAGGACAUACAUCCAACAACAAAACAAAAUAUUUGCUAGUAGGUUGAAGUGCCAUAACCAAGUGCCAAACUCAACAAACCGAUCCUACAAGAAGGAAACGUAAACAAAAAAUAACUCACCAAAGAGAUCACACCCUCAAUACAAGACAUAACAUCCAACAACUAAGCAAUAUCUUUGCAACAGGCUGAAGUGCGCCAAAUAACCAAGUGUCAACAUUAACAAACCGAUCCUACGAGGAGGAUACAUAAACCAUAAAUAACCUGCAAAAAACAUACAACAACUUCCCAAAUUGGACAUAUCAAUAACCAUAAACACUACAUAUCAAUCUCACAAAACUCAUACACCGUAAAGAUUCCAACACCAGACCGAAAAACAUAAAUCAAAUACACUUUACUAGCUAAAAUUUUAAACUGAACUUUGGAUAAAAUUGUGUUUCUUAUAAACUUAUAUGUAUAAACUUAUUUAAAUUUAUUAUAUUUUAAAAUCAAUUGAAAAUUUUAUCCACACAUGUAGUUUAUUUGGUUAUCACUUCAAUCAGUUUUAUUGGAGUGUUUCAAAACUAUCUUUAUUAGCUAUGCCCCAUUGCCAAACUCUUCACUUAUGAUUUAAUAAACGGUGUAUGAUAGUCUUUUUCAAGAUUAUGGCAAGUUAAAUCCAUUAUAAUAUCCUUUCUUAUAUUUUCUGUUUUUAUUUUAUUUUAUUUUGUAUUUCUGUUUUUCUCUUUUUAUCUUUGUCUCAAAAAAAUCAAUUAUCAUAACACAUUUUGUCACAUCUUAUUUUGAUAACCAAUGGAUUUUGUUUUCGUCGAUUGCUAGCCAUAUUUGAUUUCUUUACUUUUACAAAAGUAAUGUGUUUAGAAAACCUUAACAUUAACAAAAUAUAAUCAUUAAUAGCAUAUAUUUGUAAUGAACUUUUAAAAACAUUACGAGUAACAUUACAUAAAUCAACUGAUUAGAAAAUUUAAGAAUUCCAAUUUUAAUAUAUAAUUAAGAAACCGAAAUUGUACAAAAAGAAUAAAAGAAACAUAUUAAUAAAUGAGAGAAAGAGUGGGAAGUGCUUUUCAAAUUUUAAAUUGAUUUUAUUAUCAAUUAAUUAUGAACAAACAACUUCAUGCAUGCAAGCUUAUCUAUCACAGCUUCAUUAAAUGCUAAAGUAAGAGAACCAUUGCCAUUAAAAAGGGCACAAAGCCAUGUAACCACUGUGCCAACUUCUUAGUUUAAGUAUUUAACUUCAGAAUUUAUCCAGCACUUGUUUCUAAAUUAUUAAAAAUACUUAAUGGAAUAUAUUUAAUAUUUUUAGGCUAUGUAUCUAGGAUAACACAUUAAAAUAUAUAGCAAAAAUCUUGUUCUAGAAAUUCGUAAUAGAACUUAAAAAUUAGGAUGUAAAUUACGUUCUCAAUCGUAAUCCUCACGAUCUUGUAGCUAUAUAUAGUGUGACAUUAUGAGGCAUCAAUUAUUGUGACGUGCCAUACCUAAAAAAGCAAAUUUAUGAAUAUAAAAAGAAAUAACUUUUUGUCAAAAUAUAGGUCCCUACUACUCCGUACUCUAAGACUCUUGUCAGACCUUCCUUCCUUCACUUUGAAUCGAUGCAAAAUUUAAAAUGCCCAAUAAUAAAGAUUGUUAUGUGGCUUAACAAUUAUGUAUUAGAUUAUAAUAAAAGAAUGAAUAAAUUUUUAUUAAAAUAUGGAUCUUAUAUAAAGAGGUGAAAUAAUUUUUCUAAUUAAAAUUAUGUAUUUUAUUAUAUAAUUGUUAAAGUAACUUUUUAAUAAUAAAAUAGAUGGAAAGAGAUCAAGUACCACUCAUUUGUAACAAUUUUUAAAAUAAUUUUUAAUGUGUUUAUCUUUUUUUGUUUUCUUAACCUUUUUUUUAGUUUAUUUUAAUUUAAAAAAACUAGUUCUAGAAAAACAGUACUCACAAUUUUAUUAACGAAUUUAUUAUUAUUAAAUAAAAUAUCUACUGCUUUUGUUCUUUAUUUAUUUAUAUAAAAUUUUAUGAAAUCUUUGAUAUUUUAUUAGUAGAGAAAACUAUAAAAUAAAAAUUAAUUUUAUAUAAAAAUAAUUAGUUACUAUAUUAAUAAAAUUAAAAAAUAUUUUUAAAAUUAAAAAAUUAUUAAUAUAUAAAACUAAUUUUAAAGUUAGUAUCGAAUUAGAUAAUUAAUACUAAAUCUAAUAUAAAGUAAUUGGUAGUUAAAAUUUUACUCACUACUUAGAUACUAAUUUAAAAAAUAUUUAUCAAUAAUAAAAUUUAAUUUAAAUAUUAAUAAUUAGUUUCUAAAAUAAUAUAUAAUUUAAUCAAUAUAACAAUUAAUUAUUAUUAUUUUUUAAAAUUAAUUUUUAUUUAAUAAUUUUUGUUUAGUUAUAGAAAUGAGAUGCAUAUUAUUUUCUAACAAUAGAAGAUAAAUAAGGAAAUAUAAUAAUUAUUGUGUUGGCUAGAUUAUGUUUUUGUAAGGGACCAUGAAUUCUAUUUUCUCUAAAAGAUGUAAUUUGUUUCGUUAAGUUUGCAUAAAUUUUUCUUUUAAGAGAUUACAUAUAUUCCUGUAGAUUUUUUAAAUAAUUAAAAAAUAUAUUAUAAUUCUGGAAGGAUUGUAAUUUUUUAAGCAACUAAAAGAAUAAUUGGUAGAAUUGAGAAAUCAAAAAUAUAUUUAAGUCUUAAAAGGAAAAUAAUUUCUUCUUCUAUGCAUAUUAAAUAUAGUAUUUUACAAGGUGGAAAUGGAAAAGUGAAUAAAGUAGUGACUCUACAGAUCCAAGUAAACGACAAAGAACACUUUUUUUGUGAGUGGAUAUGGAUGAUGAUUAUUAUUAUUUUUAUCACGGUUUUAGAAUCUUUGAACAGGAUAUGUUCUAUGAUAUGCAAGUUGUCGGCACCAAUAAGGUAACUAGCACACCUUUGGGAUCUUUGCCAAUUAAUUUAAAUUUCAUAUGCAAGAUUUACAGAGGGAAGAACUUGUUAUUUCAUUUUAAGAUAAUAAAGAGGAAAAUAAAGUGAUUUACAGGCACAUAUACUUUGGGUAAACAAAUAAAAUAAUCUAAGAUAAAGUUUAACUUUUGUGUAGUUAACAGAGAAGGAAAUGGUGAGUAAGAAUAUAAGACUAAAAGAAAAAAAAAUGAGAGAAUUUUGACGUUAUUUUGUACUGAGAAAAUAAAACUAUGAAUAAAAAUAAGUGUAUAUAUAUAUAUAUAAUAUUGUUUGUUAUCGAGAAAGUAAAAAGAAUUAUUUGUAUAAUUUACGUAAAAGACAAAAGUACAUUAUAGAAGGAAAAGAUAUAUCAGUCUUGUACAGUGAAAAAGUUUAUGGGUCGUAGUCUCUUACUCUCAACAAAAAUUUUACUGCUUCUCUCGGCUUGUCUUUAUUCAUUUGGCUCUGUUCUUUCCCUUUAAGAUACAGAAUAUAAAGUUUUGGGAUACGUGUUUUCCUAUCUACUUUUUUUCUUUCCAUUUAAAAUAAUUUAGGUUAUGUACCGGAUCGAACUGUCAACACUAGAUUAGACUUAGUGGAAUUGACGAAAUGAUAGACGUUCGUGUAGGAUGAUCGACACUUUGGUACAUUAACGCUUAAUCAAAAUUAGUAAAACUAAACUAUUAUAUAAUACACAUUUAAGUGUGAUUUAUCUCACUAAAUCGAUCAAAUAAGAUAAGUUUCAUUAAAAUAAUAUAAAUAGCGCACAUUUCAAGAACUACGUCAUUAAUUAUUGUACACGUCCGAGUGUUGAACGUCCUUUGCUGACUUGAGCGUCGAAGUGCCUUCUGCAGAUACUUCAUUCGGCAUUCUCCUUAGAGACUAAGCAAUCAGGCGACCGAGACUUAAAAAAAUAACACGAAGACUGAAGGAGUAGGCUGAAAUGUGAGCUGACCGAUCGGUACAAGGAAGAAGACGAAGCCAAUCAACAGUUUUUUAGGAUUCAUCUCCCUAACAGAAACAUAUUAAAAAUUAAACAAGAUAUUUAUUAAGGUUAAUAAUAAUUAUAUUAAUAAAUAUAUUUUAAAUUUAAUUUAAUUUUACAAAUUUAUAAAAUGAAGUUUGCCUUCAUCUCUAUAUUAUGAAAUAUUUUAUAUUUAAUUGAUGUAAGAUUUCAAUAUAUUUACUUACAUUUUAUAUUUUUUUAUCAACAUUUAAUAAAAUUUAACUAUGAUAUCUAAAUGAUUGGAAUAUUAUAUUAGAGUGUGAUCAUAUAUUUAUUAUAUUUUUUUUAAUGCAAAAAGCUUAAGUGUAAAUAUUCAUUAAUACAGUGAGAUAUUUGUCUUUAUGUUAAACCUAUAUUUUGGUAGGUUACAGGCUUUGUUAGUUGUUGAGUCGAUGAAUCAAGUUAAUGAAGUAGCACCUUACACAACCCCUCCACCCUUAACCCAUGCUUCAAACUUCAUAAAAAUCUUAAGAUAAAUACUUUAAACAUAUGCUAACUAUUUUUUCGAAAAAUACAAAAUCACUUCUUAUUUAAUAACUACUCACAAAGUGGUACAUAUAUUUUAAAGUCUUGGUUCAUAAAAACAUAUCUUACAUGGUUCUUAUUUCUAUAGCUUAAAAGGUAUUUUUUUUAAAAAUGAUAAAACGUAUUUUUGGAGAUGCCACGUGAACUAGUAAUAAUAUAAUAAUAUAUAAUAAAUGUAAUUCUUAUUUUAUGAGUUAUUGUAAAAUAGAUUUAAAAUUUAUUUCGUAAUUUUGUAUUUGUUCCUGCUAGGGAGAUGAGACCUAGAGAAUUAUUGAAGGUUUCGUCUUCUUCCUUUUUUCGGGUAGGUCAUUGGUACUUUACUGUGGUUCUUCUCUACCCGAUCUCUCAGUCUCGGAUGAAUACCAAAUGAGAGAGGUAGAUGCAGAAGAUACUCCGACGCUUAAGUUAGUAAAAAUGGUAUUCAACAUUUGGGGAUGUACAAUAAUAAUGACGUACCUUUCUUAUUGAAAUGUGCAUUAUUUAUAUUAUUUUUUAAUGAGCUUACCUUUAUUGGAUCUGUUUAGUAGAAUAAAUCACAUUUAUAAUUGCAUUACCUAAUUUUUAAUGGUAGUUUAACUUCACUGACAUUGUUAAACGUGUUAGUGGAACUAAAUGUCCGUGGAAGUCUGGUUGGAACUACAGUCUUAAAAUUUAUUUUAGUAAAAAAAUGAAGUUAUUAUGUCAGAGAUCUGAAAGGUUUUAUAAAGGAUAUUAAAUCCAUGUAUUUAUGUUUGGCGAAUUGAAUGCGAAAUUAAAGAGGAAGAGGUAGUGAAAGUUGAAAAGGUUUUGACAGUGAGAAAGGUGGUGGAAGUAGCCUACAUUCUGUUUGCUCUGCACUGCAGGUUCAUAAUUUCACAUGCCUCACAUAACUAUUACCAACAUUUAACCUACAAACCAGGGACCCUUUCUGAUAUCUACCUUGCUCCUCAUUUUAUCCAAUAAUCCACUUCAUCAAUAUUAUAUUCAUAUUUUAUAAAAAUCUAACACUUUUUACGCACCAAUAUUAUUCAUAUAAAAAAUUAGGUUUAAAUGUGAGAUUAUAUAUAUAUAUAUAUAUAUAUAUAUAUUUUAUUUUAUUUUUCUUUUAAUUAAAUUUUUUUCCUUUUUAGUUUUUUUGUUUAUUUUGCAGAACAAUAUUUUAUUCGUUUGGAAUUAUAUAUCAUGUAAACACUGAUAAUAGGUGGUCUACUCAUUUUGUCACUUGUAUUUAGUUCAUGUGUAGGAUUUUUUAAAAGUUUAUCAAAAAAAUUUAAUAAAUUUGUUUCAUUAUUUAAUCCUCCUUUCUGUGAAAUGUUAUUUUUGUUUUAAUCUAUGAUGUUGAAGGCUUUUAAUAAUAUUUUCUUUAUAUUAUUAUUAUUAUUAGUUAUUCUCAUUCAACUUAUGCAAACACCUCAUAACAUUAAUCUUUGUCCAUUCACUUUCAUAUUGUAAUAUAAUCAUAAUACUAACCAAAAUCCUUUUACAUCGAAGAAUUUUGUUUCCCAGAUAGUUUAUUGACUCACACAAACACAGUCAACACCCAAAAUGAUUAUAAAUAAUAUAAUUUUUUUCCAAAAUUCAUGAUGUUAUAUUUAGCAUGCAACUCAUAUCCUUGAGAUAUCAGUAGAGAGUGAAAUGAUUUUGCUAAUGAUAAUUGCUGAGAGAAACACCUCAAAUCUGUUUCGAAUGAAUUGUUACUCUCUCUUUCAUAUAUGUAAAUAUAGUCUCACAUCGUUCAAGUGUCAAAGUUAUGGACGGUUUAUAUACUUCCUCCUUCUCCAAUUCUCUGAUGCGUCUUUUAAGGACAAAACCGUAAUGAAGUACUGACUUCCAAAGCAGACAAUGCCUCGCGGUGAUUGACCCGAGCGAUGCUAUCUCUCAUACUUGAAGUCGGAACAUUGACAUCCCUUGUGGGGCCCAAGAGGCUCCUUAGCCCUCGACUUGGGAGGCUUGUUCCAGUAUGCCAAUAUAGUCCCACUUCAGAAGUCGAGGCUAAAGGUAGUUUAUAUACUCUCUCCUCCUUCAACCCUCUACACGUCUUUUAAGAAAAAAACCAUACAAUUUAUAUACCUCCUCCAAUUUUUUGAGGUUUGUUAUUAUUUUGGUUCUUAAAGUAAAUUCACCUGCACAUAAUAACUAAAAUAAAAUUUAAUAAACUUUAAAAAAAUAGCUCUAUACAAAAUUAAAAAAACUGAAAAUAAAAAUAUUAAGAAAAUCAAAAGGAAUAAUAUACACAAUUUAGAGAAUUUGAAGUUUAUUCUAAUAAAGUUGAUUCUUUUGGGAGAGAAAUAAAUAUGGUGACCCCAUGACCCUUCGUGUAGCUUCUCUGGUACAUGGCAUUGCCAGCUCAGCCACUGAAUGCUUGGUGUGCUAACUUCACCAACUUGUGAAUUCAAUUAUAUAUGCUUUUCUAUUACAUUAAUAUGUGUCGUACAAUUUGUCUCCUUUCUAUUUCUCUCUUCUUCCUUCCUAUUCGUCUACUCUUUAUAACCAGAAUAAAGACUACACUUUGCCUCAUUCUUUCAUACUCAAAUCUGGUAAACAAAUAUAACUGCACCACUGUUUCUAGAAGAAAAACUUUUUUUUUUUUUUUUACAGAGUUUCCCAUUUGUAAUAAUUAUUGAAGAUGUAGAAAUAAGAAUAUUUUAUAAUGAAAAUAUUUAUUUUAAGGUCAAUUUUUUAAGUCUAGUAUUAUGCGCCAAGUCCGAUAUUGCAGGUAAACGAUCGUCAUAUUUAAAGACAUCAAUGUUGUAUCAGCAUAAAUUAAAGAAUAUGUUGGAGAUCUCUCGUCGACUAGAAAUAAAGACAUUUCAUAGUAUAUAAGUGAGGAUAAAUCUCAUAUUACGAGAGAUGUAUUAUUAUAUAUAAAAUAAUUUUAAAAUAUAUUAUAAGUUUUAUAUAAAUAUAAAUACAUUUCUACUAAUAAAGUAAAACAAAAGUUAAUAUAUUAUUCAUCUUAUCUACGUUUCCUAAACAUAUACUUAUGCCUACUCUCAUGUAUAUAAUCCAGAAUAUGUUUAUUAUACAAACAAUAAUAUAUUUAUGUUUGUCUUCAAACUCAACAAUCUCAAAAUCCAUGUUCAAAUUUUAAUCAAUCAUUUACUUCAAAUUCUACGAUCACACGUUACUCAAUUAAUUAUUCCAUAUUUCUAAACUAUAUUCAAUAGAAUUCUCACUUCUUAGGAUUAGUUUAACAUUUAUCUUUAACUUAUUUACAAAAUGUAAAAAAAAAAAAAUAGCUUCCACAUAAAAAGUUGUUAGAGUUACACGAAACACCCUCAAUAACCAACGAAUUUCAACAUUCUAAAAAUUUAAACUACAUACCAAAUUUUAGUAUAAAACUAAACAAACUUAGAAAUUUACUUUACUCAAUUGACAAAAUCGAGAUAGAUAUCUACAAUGAAUAAGAAAAGAAAAACAAAAAUCUUCAAAGCAAAAUAUACUUAGUUUGAUUUGAAAACUUAUUGAGUAGAAAUGAUUCUAAACUCGUCCCUUUUUGAAAGACGAAAUUAGAUUUUGAAAAAUACGAGAAUCAGAGUGAGACUUUAAAAGAUAUGUUACAGAAAAGAAAAAAAAACUUUAAAAAGAGAAGAAAUAUUGCAUGUACGAAGGAUAGGGAAUGAAAUAUUUUACACUAUAUGUUAUUUUUUUAUAAAUUAAAUCUUUAUAAAAUAUCUUUAGAGAUACAAAUAUUAUUUGAAAUAGAUUGGACGGUUUAAAAUAAGAAAAUAGUAAAAACAAUAUUGACAAAAAAUGUAAAGUAAUUUAUUGAAGCACAUAAACUACAUCUAAGUAUAAAAUGUCUGAAUUAAAUAAUUAAAAUGAAAUCAUUAAUAAUAUUCUAAUAACUUAAAUAUAUAUAUAUAUAUAUAUAUUUAUAAACAUUUUUGUGACUCAAGAUUUAAAUAUGUUUUAUAAUUUUUACAAAAUACAAAUAUAAUAUUUAUAAUAUAUAAAUUUGAAGUUCGUUGAUAACAAAUCUUCUUUAUUUUUUACAUUUAACCGUUUUGACAGAUGAAAAUAAGGUGUGAGGUUAACAAUAUAUAAUAUAUAAAAGAAAGAAUGAGAAGAUGGUGGUAAAUAAGUAGUUAGAGUGCGUAAGUAUGUAUAUAUGAUGACAAAAAUAAGGUGGAGUAUUGCAAUGAAUGAGAAGUUAAAAUUUGGUGAAUUGUGUGUUUUAUGUUAUGGGGCGUCACAUCGAUGUAAGAUGCACCAAAAAAUAAAAUGAUGGGAGGAAUGGGCCAUAACCAAAGGGAAUCUAUUAAGAUAUUCGUUUUGUGGUCAUAUAACACAUUUUAAAUAUUGCUGGGCCUUCUUAUUCCACUUCUCAACUAACUUCACACCUUUUUCAUCAACAAAAACCAAAAUAUCAACACAAUUUAUAAUUCAUUUCUUCACUUCUUUCUCUAAUUCAUUUCCUCAUUUGAUUCACUCUUUUUCUUCUCUUCUUAUAUAUCCAAAUACAAAUGUUUGAUUGAAUUAGUACUAUUUCGAUAUAUGUGUUCUUUAGGGAGAUGAGACCUAAAAAACUAUUGAAUGUUUCGUUUUCUUUAUUUCUUCGGGCAGGUUGCUAAGCUUCAUUCUGAUCCUUCUGGCUUUCGCGUUACUCCUUCGGCUCUCAGUCUCUCAGUCUCGGAUAAAUGCCAAAUGCGGGAGGUACCUGCAUAAGGCACUCCGAUGCUCAAGUUAGUAAAAAGGAUAUUCGACACUUGGGUGUGUACAGUAAUAAUAACGUACAUUUCUUCUUGGGAUGUGCGUUAUUUAUAUUAUUUUAAUGGAUUUACCUUAUUGAACUUGAUUAGUGGAAUAGAUUACACUCACAGUUGUAUUACCUAAUUCUUGAUGGUACGUCGGUCGGCUCGGUCAGUCCAUGACAAUGAUGGGUAGGUCCAUACCAAUACAUGUGUAUUUGCCACCAAAUAAUUCCUACUAUGAUUUAUUUUUAUAUAUCUAAUUGACUGUAAUUUUGAAAAAAAAUUUAAAGCAUAAAGAAAGUAAUAUAAUUUUUGCAAUUUUUUUAAUAACUCUUUUUUCUCUUUCUUUUAUCCUAGAAUUUAUUUGAUCUCAUUUGUUUCUUUUUUGUAAUUUCUUAUUCUCCUCUGCAUUGUAAAACAAAGAUAAUUUGUAAAGAGGAAAUGAUGGCUUCAAAAUACCACUAUUAUGAGAUGCAACUCAAAGUCAAAAAGAUGUUUGAUCAGUUUGUUGUCAACUUUAAUCACUGUUCAUGACUUUACUCUUCUUUUGUAGUUCCAAAAAAGUAAAUAUUCACAAAAAAUAAAAAAGUGACAUUGGAAUUUACAAAGGCAUAAAAUUUGGCCUAUUAUUUAAUUGAUAUUGUUACUUUAGUUUCUUCGUUCUCACCGGUUUAAGAUGCCCCCCACAUGCUACAAUUGUUCCAACCAAAACAUUAGAUCCAAAGGUAUACUCCACAAUAGUAAACCAUUAUCACAGACACUGUACUUCUACCAUAAUAUAUAAAAUCAUGUAUUCUACAAACUAAUAUUUAAUAUAUCAUAUUAUAUUAAUAUAACAAUUAUUAAAAUUUCUCUGAAAAAUUAUAUCAUCACAAUAACCUUUUUUUUUUUUGUGGAGAAUCAUCAUAAGCUAAUUCAAUGAUAAAAAAAAGUGAGUAUCGUCGUUGUAAUAGCUAUUAUGCAGCAUGGGAUUUUUAUGCUUUACUAUUUUGAAUAAUUAAUCUGCAUAAGAUGGCAUAUGCAUUGUUAUAAAACUAUCUCUUUAUCCAUAUGUUCACAAGUGAGUUCAUAAGUUGGCAGAUAUAUGGUGUACAAGUAAAUAAAAUUUGGGGGCAACCCUGAUUACUUGGUUUUGAUUCUCUUCAAAUUAGGGUUUCUGUUUCUGAAAUGUGACAUUAUUUUUAACUUGCUAGCACUGUGAUUGCGUUGAGUAAUGAUGUUUUGAAGGCUAGACCAGCAUUUGUUAACUAAGUGACUGAUAAAAUUGACAAAAUUUGCCCUCAACUUCUAUACUUUUACACGCACUUCCAUAUUAAUCAUGAAAAGUUGAUUUUAAUCUUUUUAAUUUUUUUUAAAUAAUUCUAAAUAAAUCAUGAUCUCAAGUGCACUCUCACACUUCUCUCUAUGAACUACAAUAUUUUCAUUCUUCUUCCGCCACAAUGUUUAAAAGAGCACUUAUAUCAUUUGAACGUGUGUGAGAUGAUUGGUGAUAAGAUUAAUUGUAUUCGACGUUUCCGGUGUAAAUUUUUUUUUUAAGUUUUGUACUCCAUUUUUGUAGGUUGUUGAUUUUUAUUUUUUUUUAGUUGUGUGACUUCCAGAAAAAUAGAAAUAAGAAUAAGCGAAAGAAAAUAUACUCACAACCAGUACAGACAACACAAAACUUACAUCAAUUACCAAUAUUCACCACCAACUACCAUAAGCAAUCAUCACCACUUGAAAACAAAGAAGAGAACACCAUACUCAAAAGAAUAUUAUUAAAAUUUUAAAAAAUAUAAAGAUACAACGAUAAAGUAUAGAGUUGUAGGAAGAAUUUGCCAUAAAAUUUUGAUGAAUGAUAUAUUGAAAACCUGCUUGACUAUACAACAUUUAAUUGAUGAUAUAAAAAAGAGAAUAUUUUUAUUAUUUCACAUAUAAAAAUUGAAAUUUUAGACAAAGAAAAAAAGUGGUAUAUUGGAACAAGAUGGUUAAUUUAUCAUUUUUCUAAAAUUUUAUGGUGAGUUGUUUUCCGGGUUGAGAUCAAAGGCCCAAAACACUCUAAGAUGGUCCAGUAGCAGCUCAGUGGCCCAAAGCACAUAACAAUUAGAGUUGAGAUUCCACAAAAAGCAAUGCAUAUAAUGCAAAUUUAUAACCUAUUUAUUUUUAUAACAAUCAUCUGAAAAUGAAGAAAAAGGAAGGAUAUAGACGAAUAAUCCAUGCACGGAGGAAAGGCGCCAAGUAAAAAAAGGAACAGCAAAAGAGCCUAAAGUAUUUUUUCACUCUUAGUUACAUCUACCCAUAUUCCUUUUUAUUUUACCAAAUAAAAAAAUACGAGUGAAUAACUUUCAAAAGACAUGUUCCUAAUAUAUCUGGACAAAUGCAUAACAAAAACCACUUUUGACACGCUAACUUUAUACUGUCUCAUACACAACCAAUAAUUGCUAGUUUCAAAACAUGCAAACCAAAGACAUCUAAACUGUUGAAGAUUCACACUCACAUUUUAAGUGAUUCACUUCCUAAAGCCAUUGGUUAUACCUGCAUUUUGUCGUGCACAGAACCCUUUAGUUUACCUUUCCCUUAUUCUAACACGUUUUCCUUUUUAAUCACUUUUUCUUUCCGGUAUGUUUGCCUAGUGGUUCGGUGACGUGGAUUUUACUUCAACCCAGAAUCGAUUCUCAUGCCAUGGUGUGCUUCUAUUUUAGAACUCGAGCAAAGUGCACAUCAUUAUAUAAAUAAUACUUUGGUAACAAUUAUAUUUUUUUAACAAAGACAACAAGGUUAUCGUUUUCUUUUAAUUAGAGCCAUGGAUGAGCUCAGUAGGAGUAGGGUGAUACGAAUUUAACAGAAAAGAAGAUGAAAAGAGGAACACAAGGCGAAGAAGAAGUAGUGUCAAGGGGUUCCAAGUGCCAAGACUGUGGGAACCAAGCCAAGAAGGAAUGUUCAUAUUCAAGGUGCAGAACUUGUUGCAAGAACAAAGGGUUUAAGUGCCAAACCCAUAUCAGGAGUACUUGGACUCCUGUGGACAAGAGGCGCAACACGGAGCAACCACCUUCACCUCCACACAACUUUCAUGGAGAUGUUCCUCAAAAGCACAACCAGAUCAAUCCCUAUUCAGGUUACUAUUUAUACACUUAAAACCAAGGCGUGAAGGAUGUAUAUACAGCUUUAUUAAGCCAAAGUUUUUGUUACGUUUCUCUUUUUUUUUAGUUUCAGGUUUAGAGAUGAAAUUUCCUGGUGCUGCGAAUUCGAUGGCUAUGUUUCGGUGCGUUCAGGUUCGGUCUAUGGAUGAUGCGGUCAAUGAAGUAGCGUAUCAAACAUCUGUGAACAUUGGGGGGCAUGUAUUCAGUGGAAUACUAUAUGAUCAAGGCCCUGAACAAGGGUAUAAUCAUAAGGGUGGGAGUUCAAGUGGCCUUGUUGAUGAACAGCAGAGAAAUAAUCUUGGUCUUAUGAAUAAUGCUUCAAUCCACAGUAGAGAUAGUAGUGGUGUAACUAUAGCCUCUGCUGGUCACGGUGAACCUCUUUUUCCUCCACCACCAUAUCCGUUUCCCCUUGCUUCCUUCAGACCCGGUAUGCCAUAUUUCACAUACCCAAGAUCUUAAUUUGCUUCUUUCGGAAUCAUGAACAACAUAUAUAUGCUGGGAAUGCAUGGAAUUGAAGGCAUUAUUCAGAUGAGGAAAAAAUGAAAGUGAUGUAGAUUUCGGCGUUGGUGGAUAGAAAUGCUCAGAACCUUUGUACUGGGAGCACUUUAUUAGUGUCCAAAUAAACACGCAAGUGCACCUAGAAACAAAUGAAUUGAUUAACUGAUAGAGCUUGUUCUUUUGUGGUCGAAAAGUGGAGGACUCAGUUUGUUCCUAUUAUAGUUUUAUGUGUAAUUUAGAAUGUGGCCACCGCUAAGUUUGGCAGUUUUGUCCUCUUGCUUUGCUCAUGAUUCACUUUUUAGAUUUUUGUCAAUGAUAAUGUUUAAUUCCCCAACUUCGACUCCCUCAUUAUUCUGCACUCUAUACUUCUGCCACCUUGGUGCAUAUCUGAGACGAGUUUCCAUCUUUUUUACUAUCUUAAAAAAAAUUGUUUAUAAAAAGUAAUAUAUAUAUAUAUAUAUAUAUAUAUGGAAAAAAGUUACACUGUAAUCACAAUUAUUUACUUUUUAUAAUGAUUGUCUUAAAUUUUAUAUUAAAUAUGAUUUGUAAUUUACUGAUAAUGUUUUACUUAUGUCUAUUAAACUUAGAGUUUAAAGUUUCAUGGUUAAAUAUGUUUUUUCUUAUAUUAAUAUUAAAAUUUAAAUUUUUUUAAGUAUAAACUUUAGAUUUUAUGUUACUUUGUAAUAAAAACUAUUAAAAUAUAUUUUUAUUAGUAUUUUUUAUGUAAUAAAUAAAUUUUUAACAUAAAUUUAUACUAUAAUAUUAUAACAUAAAAUAUUUUAAUAUCUUAAUUAAUUUAUUGUAAAAAUCUGUUUGUCAUAUAAAAAAAAUUAUAAAGACGUAUUUUAGAUUUUAAGGUAUUUGUAAUAUAGAAACUUGUUGGAGAUCCCACAUUGACUAGAGAUUAGAGCCUUUCAUUGUAUAUAAGUGGGUGCAAACCUCAAUCUUAUUGAGCUGGUUUUAUGGGGUUGAGUUAGGCUUAUGGUUUAGGGUUUAGGGUUUUAUCAAUAUUUUUUAUAUAAUCAACAAAUUUUUAUCAUAAAUUUAUAUAAUAUGAAAUAUUUUAAUAUCUUAUUUUAUAUUAAAAAUUCAUUUAUUAUGUAUUAGAAUAAUUUUCUUAUUAAAGAGUACUUUAAAAGUUCAACUAAAAUUUAAAAUAGAAAAAAUACUAAUUUUUCGUAAAAGCAUAUGGAAGAAAAUAUGUUUAACCCAAGUUAAUUUUGUAAGAAUAAAUUUGGUGAUGUGAGUGGUGUGAGUAGCUGCAUCAAACCUAAAGUUUGUGGAUGAGAAGAUGCACACAUGAUAGACUUAUGACUAUAAGAGACAGCGUGCUGUUAGCUGAGGACUUUCUGGAGCUUGGUAGCCUCUUUUUGUUCCUUCCAUUGCCAUUUUAUUAUAGUUUCACUUUUUCUCAUUUUCUUACUCAAAUUUCAAUGCCAAUUACAUUUUAAUAUUUUUAAAUUCAUCCAAUAGUUAACUUCAUAUAAAUGUGUAUAGAUUUUAGAGACACGAACACCCUCUAACAGAACAUAAAUUUGAUGCUACAGAUGUGACAAUGACAUAGCAGAAUAAAAUUGUACAUGAAUGAGCAAUAUGAACUUCAAAAUAGAGUAAAAAAGAAUAUUACAUCGGUUCUUAGUAACAACCGUUGUAAUAUAUUUUUUGUACUCAGAAUGACCAAUAUUACACCGGUUAAACCAUCUAACCGACGUAAUAUAUAGCCCAUAUUCAGAUAUGGAAGGUUGUUACGAUUGAUGGUGGUGUUGGAUUGGAGAGUUUCGCCUUUGAUCCUCGCGGCGAAGGACCUUACACCGGCGUUUCUGACGGUCUCGAAUCAUCAAAUGACAGCGUUCUGAGAGUUGUGUGGAUCUGUCUCAACGUCGACCAGUUCCGUGCCAUUGUUUACGACAGUGAUCGCACGGGGUCCUUACUGUUAGCGGCGGAGUUGUUCCUAGUGUGUCGUCAUGUCGAGCGCGACAAUGACGAUCUCGGCGAGGCACUGGAGGUUCUUGUUGGUGUCGAGGUCGAGAGCAACGACAUUGUAAACAUCGAGUGAUUUGACGACGCAGUCGACGAGCUCUGGAAAGAGCUUGUCGAGCAGCGACUUGGCGAUCUGGGAGGGGUCGCAGCCCAUGAGAACGACGACUUUCAACUCGGUCUCACAACAGAGAAACUCGUGGAGGAGGUGGCGGAGCCAGGAUAUGGGCAAGAGUGUCAUCGGAGGAGUCCUCGGUGGUGGUGGAGUUCCAAGAAGCGGUCUCCCACAUGCUUCUGAAAACAUUAUUAUUACAAAACUGUCAUUGUCACGUCAUCAUUUUUCGCCACGUUGACAACGUCAAAUGUGUGUCAUGGUGCAGAGGGUGUUAACAAGACAUUUUUCUUGAUUUUAACUAUCCACGCUAUGAUUAAAAACUAGAAAAUUUGAUUAUUUCAUUUUUGAUUCACUUGCACUAAACGUUGAAUCUAAAUAAUUGGUAGCAAAAACUUUUAUUUCUAAUUAAACACCAAUUUAUAAAUCAUUUAACAAUAAUAAAAACUAAUUUAAAAACCAAAAAUUUUUUAGUCUCUAAAAUAGUCUUUAAGAUAGUCACUAUAGCAAGUAAUUAUUUUUUGUCUCUAAAAACUAGUUUCUAUUUCAUGAUUUUCUUGUAGUGAUAUUACUCAUAAAACUUUAUGUUGAUUUUAAGGAUUUUUUUAUAUCCACUAAAAAUUAACAUAAAUAUAAACUACUUAUAAAAACUUAAAAGAAGUCUUAUUUUUUAAUCUAGAAAAUGCUUUAUACGUGAAUUCAAUUUAAAUUCGACACAAAGUUAAUUUCGCAUGUCCACUCUAAAUUGAACUAAUACAAAAUACUUGUAUUCAAUUAAAAUUUUAAUUAAUACAAGUCACUUCAUACUUCAUAUAUAAGUGUGUUAUGUCGUUGAUCUUAUAUUAAAUUUGGUUUGGAAAUAUAUAGUUUUAAAAAAAAAACGGAAUUCAAACAUCUAUUAAAUAUUCUAUUUAAUUUAAUUUAAUUUAUUUAUUCUCAUAAAAAUUAUCACAAUAAAAAAACAUGAAAUAGAAAUCAAUUUUAGAUACCAAAAAUAAUUAGUUGCUAUAGUAACUAAAUUAAAGACUAUUUUAGAGACUAAAAAAAAUUGAUUUUCAAAUUAGUUUUUAUUAUUGUUAAAUGAUUUCUAAAUUGUUAUCUAAUUAGCAACCAAAAUUUUUGCUACCAAAUUUAUAAACUAAAUAAUUAUUGGUUUCUAAAAUGGUUUCUAAUUUAGUCAUUAUAGCAAUUAAUUAUUUUUUGUAUCUAAAAAUUGAUUUCAAUUUCAUUUUCUUCUUAUAGUGCAUGAAAAAAAAUAAUUUAAAAUUCUAAGAAUGAAGGAAGGAGAUACCGUUAUUUUUUAUCUAUGUGACUAUAAAACCAACCUUUAACUUACUUUGAUUUUAAAGUUCAACACAUUUAGAAAAUUACUUAAUUUGAUUAAUUUUAUAUAUAAAAAAAUAUGUGGAAAAUAAUAUAAUAAAUUUCACAAUUAUUUUUUCUUUGUCUUCCUCUACCAAACCCAUAAUACACGUAGCCAAUUGGGCUUCUUGUCUGGAAUAAUAUGUUAAAGUAUAGUAAAUAUAGUUUGAUAUGCAAUGUACCCUAUAAAAGUUUCGUUCGAUGCUUUACUUAAUGUUAUUAGAUACCAUCUUGGUGCUUAUCUAAUCAUAACAGUCAUAUGUUUAUAUAAGAAUGUGAUAAUUGGAGAGAAGCAUAACACUUAUUUGGUUUUACGUUAGGCUAGGAUUCUUAAAAACAAAGGUUGAAACUGAAUUAUUUUAAAAAAUUGAAUUAUAAAUAAUUAAUUAUAAAUAAAAUAUUUUAACUUAAUUUAGCAAUAAUUUAUAACAUCAGAACAUGAGUUCAGUUAAAAUAUUAGUUGUAGUAAUUUGAACUAUUUACAUAAUUUAAAUAUCUGAAAACAAUUAACUAUUGAAAUUGUUGUCCAAGUUUUAAGGUACUAAUUUAAAAAUUGUUUGAUGCAGAAAAUCAUGAAAUAAAAAUUAAAUUUAAAGACAAAAAAUAAUUAGUUACUAUAAUGUUUAAAUUAGAGACCAUUUUAAAGGUUAAAAAAAAUUGAUUUCUAAAUUAAUUUAUAUUAUUGUUAAAUGGUUUCUAAAUUGAUAUCUAAUUAGCAACCAAAGUUUUUGUUACCAAAUUUAGAAUCUAAAUAAUUGGUAGUUAAAACCUUGAUAGCUAAUUAGAUACCAAUUUAGAAACUAUUUAACAAUAAUAGAAAAUAAUUUAGAAACCAAUUUUUUUUUCAUUUUUAAAAUGGUAUCUAAUUUAGUCACUAUAACAACUAAUUAUUUUUUUGUCUAUAAAAUUAGUUUUUCAAAAUGAUAAUUAAUUUUACAUUUGAAUGGGUAAAUAACUUACUUUUGUUGGUUACAUUUGUAGGUGAUACAAGAGAAUAUUUAAGUUUAGAUUCAAUUGAUAAAUUAAAAUUAAAGUCUCUUAUGAAUGAGUUUUUUAAUUUCUUAAAAUAUUGUGUCGAUAAAAUUAUGAUAUCAAAAUUAAAGUUAACAUAUAAUAAUGUGGUAGGUGCGCUUAAAGUAUUCGCACUGUUACAUGUAAAUGAUUGGUCUUAGAUUUUUGUAAAAUCCUGUUGUAAUUUUUGAACCCAGUGAAUUGUAUGAGGCAGGUUGUUUAAUGUUUUCUUGAGUUUGGUUUGGUUGUUCCGUAUUUAAGUUGGAAGGUGUCCCUUGAUAGGAGGUUGGUAAGGCGCUAACUCUUUUUGUAUAAGGGUUGGACCACUUUUAAAGUCGUUCCCAUUUAUUUAUUUUUUAUAGUUGAUAAAAAAAAUAUAAUAAUGUUAUUUAAAAAUAUAGAUAAAUUUAAAAGAUUGUGUAAUGAGACUAUAUUGCUAGUCACACAACUAGCAAAUCAUGUAAUUGGAACAAAAGUAAUGUUGAAAACAAUAUUUAUAUUUAAAAAAUGCCCAUAUCUUUGUCUUAAUUUCCAUAACCAUUUAAAUGGAGACAAUUUUCUGUCAUCAUUUCAUAUGUCAUGAUAAUAAAAAGGUUAACCAAAAAGUCCAUGUCUUUGUCUUAAUUUCCAUGACCAUUUAAAUGGAGACAACUUUCUAUCAUUAUUUCAUGUCAGGAUAAUCAAUAAAAAAGAUUGUAUUCACACAUACCACUAUUAGUCCUCUUCACGGUCAUAUAUUAGUAAAAAAAAAAGAUAAGGUUUGAAGAUAUUAAUAUACAUAAACAAAAAGUAAUUGAAGAGAAACACCAACAUAGUCUCUCAAAGAAAUCUUUCAAGAUUUAUAAGACGUGCAUAACUUUCAAAUAUAUUCUAAAAUACAACUUCAUUCAAAUAUUAAUUCAUACUUUUAAGUACAACUAUAACAAAAGGAGAAUAUUUGAUGGAAAUCAUUCCGCCACAAAAUCUCAUAGCAAAUGAUGAAAUUUCAAGAAAAAAAAAAUUCUACAUACCAAGAGUAGAAUAUAAGUAUUUUUAUUUAUUUAUUUAGUUUUGUAUAAAUUGUAUAGGUAUAAUUUUUUUUAUUUUGUAGAACUUUGUAGAGAUUGUAGUGGACUAUAAUUGAGUCUUGUUGGAUGACCAAAUUGAGAGUAUUUCUUCCGGUAUCCUAUCAAUUUUGAAAAAGACUGUUUUAUCCUUUUUUAAAAUGAUUUUUGGAUUAUUUUUUCUAGAAUGUUUCAAGAACAUACUUUUUAGAAUUCAUGAAAUAUAUUUCUAGAAAAUGUUAUCCGAAACAGAAUUUCUAAAAUAAACUUUUCAAAACGUAUUAUAUAUGUUGCAAAAUGUGUUUUAUAGAAUAAAAUUUUCAGAAUUCCGAAAGAGCUUUCAAGAAUGAUAACGAAUUAGAUGAAAUAUUUAGAUAUUUUAUAUAAUUAAUGUAAUAGAUUGAGAAAUUUUAUGAAAUGUAGGAAGAAACACUCCAAACUCCAUAGUAAAAAUUCUAGUAAAAGCUGGUGAAGAGAGAAGAAAGUUAGAUCAUGAAAACUGUAAGGACCGAGAAAAAUAGUCUUAGAGUAUAAAUGAUACAAUUAAAAUGACACAUGAAUAUUUUAUUAUUAAAGUGAAAAUGCUAUAUAUAUAGAAAUUUAGUUAUUCAGGUUUCAUUUUAAAAGAACCAUCAUCUCUCUAAAAACUCCUUUUCCUUUCUUCUACUUUCUCUCUAAAAUUUCGACCUCCUCGCUCAUUAGAUCAACGAUCAGAAUCUGCCAUUUGGACUUCUGGCAAUGAACUCUACAAGAUUGACCGAUCAAAAUCCUAGAUAGAGUAAGUUCUUUCUUGGCUCCUUUUCCUUUGAGUUAGUUUUGAUUUGAUUAGGUUGCCUUUUAGUUUAAGUUUGCAUGUGAGGUUUUUAUCUUCAGAAUUAGUCUCUGUUAGCUCAAGGUCUUAGUGAUAUAGUUGGAUUUGUGAUCAGGACUUUGUGGUGCAGGUUAGGGUAUCCUUAAGCUUUUGGUGGGUUUGGAACUCUUAGUGAGCAUAUGCUAAAGUCCAGGUAAGGGAAGCUAGUUUAAAAUCUUCAAUAGAACCCUAGGUUAGAAGAUUUGAAUGUGAGUAUGAUGUGGUCACCAAUUCCAAAUUUUGUUGCAAGAUUUCUUGUUCUGAGUAGAUUGUAGUUUGAUUGAAAUUGAAAGUGUUGUGAUUGAGAAUUGGUUGUUUGAUUUAAAUGGUUUUGGAAUUAGAAUGUAUAAAUGGACAUAAUAGCUCAAUGAUUCAAUGAGAGUGAUUGUAUCAUGCUGAAUAGGAACUGUCAAUGUAAUGUGUAGAUUUAUAAUUUAUGAAUUGAAUGAGGUAUUGAUUUAUAAUCUAAUAGGUAUAUUAAGUUAUGCAGAUUUUUUCUGCAUAUUUCGCUCAAGCUAAAAAAAUUUGGUGCUUUCUGGAGGAUUUUACCUCAAACUAGCGAAUUCUAGCUCAAGCUAAAUUUCUAGGUGCUCUCUGGAGGAUUUUAGCUCAAGCUAGCGAAUUCUAGCUCAAGCUAAAUUUCUAGGUGCUCUCUGGAGGAUUUUAGCUCAAGCUAGCGAAUUCUAGCUCAAGCUAAAAUUCUAGGUGCUCUCUGGAGGAUUUUAGCCCAAGCUAGCGAAUUUUAGCUCAAGCUAAAAUUCUGGGUGCUCUCUGGUGGAUUUUAGCUCAAGCUAGCGAAUUCUAGCUCAAGCUAAAGUCUAAAAAAAAUAAUAAUAAAUAAAAAUAUUAAACUAAUUUUUAUUUGCUUUUAAAAGAUUGAUUGAUUUAUUUCUAUAUAGUUUUUCUUAUAAAGUAUGUUAACUUUUAUUUCAUGUAUAGUUAAUUGAAAAUCUCUUUAAUUAGACAUUUAUAUGAUUAGUCAAUAAAUUGUUGUUUAUUUUGGAUAUUCUAAACAUUGGUAUGAUUUGAUUGUUUGAUGUUGGAUAUUAUGAGGUUCAAAAUAUGAAUUUUAAUCAAGACAUAGUAUUUUCAGGAAAGAAAAUACCGUGUUAAGAUUGUUUAGGAUGUGCAUUGACUAGGGAUUCGUCUAGAAGGAGAUAUUCUGACUCUACUGAGAUAAUGGAAUCAUAUAGAUGAAGUUAUUCAGGUGAUGAGAGUUGAAGGAGGUUCAUAUGAAUGGGUAAGUUGUUUGAAAGAUAACUAACUUGACCUGUUAUAUGAGUUAACCCUGUCAUACUAGGAGAGAGAUGAUAUUGAGAUUAAUUAUGCGCAUAGCUGUGUGGAUUUCACAGUGAUGUAGUAUGACAGGUGCAGAUCUCUGAGUCUAAGUCAACGCACGAGUCUUCCGGAAGUAUGAAUCAAGUGUCUAUGUGUUAUGAGUCAGUAGAAGUCUGACAUGACAAAGAUGAAUAUUGAAAUUGUUGAUAAACAUUUUAUUGUUAUGUGGAAUGCAUGAGAAAUGAUGGAUUUAUGUGGAUGUUUAAAGUUAUAUUAUGUUAUAAGUUUUAAAAAUACCUAGCUUAUCCUUUGUUUUGUUUUGUGGUUGUUUUUCUUUGAUAUGUGAUGAUCGUGUGUAUUUUACACGGAAGCAGAUGAUAUUACAGGUGAUAAAGUUUCUCGGUGAGAAGAUGGAUGAUGGAAAAUGUUUAUUUUCUUUUGAAAUUUUGUUUUUAAUUCUUUUAUGUAAAUGUUUCAAGUCUUAUAAAGAGAGAGAUAAUUUCAAACAUUAUAUGAAAGAAUUGCAUAUAUAUUUAUAUUAUUUUUAUAUAUUUAUUUUAAUAUUUCAUAUGGAAAAAUAUUGGGAUGUUAAAAAAACCUCCCAUCACAUUGACCAAUUUUAGGCCGAAGUCUUGUACAACCUUAUAUGGGCUAAUUUCUGAAGGCUUACUUCCAAAUCACAUUCCUCAUGGGCUGUUUCUUCCUGCACCCUAACAAAUAUUUUUCUGCACUCCAUCAUUUUCAAAGAAGAUUAUUUUACCCAUUUUAAAAAUGAAUUUUGGAUUGCUCUUUUUGGGAUAUUUUCGGAACAUAUUUUUCAGAAUAUAUUUUAUUAAUUUCAGAUUUACCAAUCCAGAAAUAAAAAAAUGCUUUAUGGAAAGGAUAUUUUAGGAUGAUUUUUUAUCUUGAAUUUUUUAUUUCAAAAACAUUUUUACUUACAGAACUCCUAUUCCGAAAACUUUUUUGCUUAUAGAACCCCUAUUCCAAAAUCAUCCUAAAUUGUGAAAGGUUAAUUUUUUAUUUCAAAGAAUGUGGGGGUGUAGGAAGAAAAAUAUAAGUGUGUAGGAAGAAACUCCCUUCCUGAUGUUCUUUGGGCUUAUUUCAAUAUGCAUAUAGUCUUCAGGGUAUUUCUUCUUGCACCGGUACAUUUUUUUCCUGCACCCCUAUAUUCUUUGGAAUACCAGAAUUAUCUUUUGAUAAUUUUGUGUAAUUCCAGAAUGGUUUUCAUAAGCAAAAAUUGUUUUCGGAAUAGGAGUUUCAUAAGUAAAGUUGUGUUUUCCAAAUAGGAAAUUUGAAAGACAAACCAUUCCAUAAUAUUUUUCCAGAACACAUUCUUUUCAUUUUCAGAAUAAUAAAUCCAGAAUUCAUGAAAUGUGUUAUGAAAAUAUUCUAGAAAAAAUAAUUUAAAAGUUUUUAAAAAAGGAUAAAAUAGUCUGUAAUAUAACUUACCUUCGUCUAUGGACUCUCAGGUAUGCCGAAUAUUACUAAACAACAACAUUUUGUAAAUGAUAAUAAAAAGGUUUUUUUCUCCAUAUUUAACUGGAACAUUCUUCUGCUUUGUGCUUUGUUUUGCUCUAAUACUAUGUUUGGAUUAAAGGGUGUGGAAGAGUGAAAGUGUGAAGAUUUGUGAAAAAAGUUGAGGGUGUUUGAAUUGAGGUAUGUUAGAGUGGAUGUGUGAGGAAAGUUCAUUGAAAUAUGUGAGUGAUGUGGUGGUUGUAAGAAUAUUUUGAAUUAUUUUUAGUUGUGUAAAUUGUAAGAUUAUAAAUUUACCGUUGUAUAUAUAUAUAAAAAAGAAAUAUAUGAUAAUUAAUUUUGUGCACAUUUUAUUUAAUUAAAAUAAUUUAAAUUUUCAAUUAUAAAUAAAAAAUAAAAUAAUGUAGAAUUCAAAUAAAUAAAAUAUGUAUAUAAAAAAUUAUCCUUGUAUAUAAAAAAAAUAACAAAAUAAAAUAUUAAUUAAUUUAAAUGACAUUUUAGUUAACUAAAAUAAUUUGUAUUAUAUUAUUAAAUUUGUAUUAUAUUAAUUUAUUUAUUAACAUUCUUAAAUUCCAUUACUAUAUUAAUAUUUUUCAUUUAAAAUAAUGCAUAUAAUUAUUUUUGAUUAAUACGACAAACUUAAUUUAUAUUACUAAUAAUAAUUCAAACGUAACAUUCAAUUUUCAGUUUUAAUUACUAAAAAGUAAAUUAUAUAUAUAAAUAUAUAUAAAUUAAUAUGUUUAAUUAUAUAUAAUAUCUCAAAUUAAUAAAAUAUAUCUAAAUUAAUACUUGAAUUAUAUAUCCCUACUGUCGAAAUAUUAAUUUAAAAUAAAUAAAAAAAUUAAUAAAGAAUUAAAUGUUGAAAAAAUACUUUUGUAAACAAAAAAAAUCUAAAAAAGUAAAGGAAUAUUCUCAAAACCACAUAAAAGAAAAUUCAAUAUUUUAUGACUAAUAUAAAAAUAAACUCCUAUUAAUCAAUAAAAAAACAAUAAUAAUAUUAAUUUGGUCUAUAUUUAAAUUGGAUUUUAAUUAAGACAAACUCAUUCAAAUGAUUCUCAAUAAUAGAUAUUUAAUUUAAUAUUUAGUUUUAAAUAAUAUAAUAUAAAUUCCAUUACUAUCUUAAUAUUUCUAUUUUAAAUUAAUAUAUAUAAUUAAUUCUCAUGAAAAUAAUUAUAUUAUUUUUAUUACUAAUAAUAUUUUUAAAAAACAUAUUGACAUCUGUAAUUUAAAUUAAUGUAAAAAAAAUAAAAAUAAAAAAUUCAUAAAAUAAAAAUCUUCAAAAAUACAAUAAUAAAUUAUAUAAACAACUUCACAGGAAAAAAUAAUUUACUAAUACAAUUAUUGAAUUUCAUAUCAAAAUUUACAUCUAAAAUUAAAAACUUAUUAACAAAUUAAAUUAUAAAACCAUAAACAUCCAAACAGAAUAUAAAUAUAAACCACAAAUUUAAAACACAAACCAAAAAUAAAUAAAUAAAAAAACAUGAAAAACAACAGAUUGGAAAUAUCACCACAAGAAAACAAUAUAAAGUUGUGCCGAAAAACAAUUCACAAAUAAUUAUAAAACAAACAAAAAUAAAAAAUUCACAAAUUUGGAAAAAACACAUGAAGAUAACCGAUUAAUUAUUCCCUUAAAAAAAGAGCAUAAUCGAUUAUUGCUACAGUUUUAAAUCCAACAUAAUCGAUUAUUCCAAACCAUAAUCGAUUUACCUCACUUUUACACAUAGUACAUAAUCAAUUAUGCUCGUGACAUAAUCGAUUAUUCCAAACCAUAAUCGAUUUACCUCACUUUUAGACAUAGUACAUAAUCAAUUAUGCUCGUGGCAUAAUUGAUUAUCCACUAUUUUUAACAGCAUAAUCGAUUAUGUAAUUUGUUGUUUUUCACUGAUAAUCGAUUAUCUACUCUAGAAAAGUAAGAGAAAGCUAACCUGAGAUCAGAAACUCACUCCCCUACCACUGUGCUACCUCACAAACCUCUCCAAGCCUAGUGAACCAAUUCACAACUAUGUAAAGAUAAAGAUAGUUUAAGUUUGUUUUGAGUAAAUUCUUAAGUUUACAUAGGCAUGACUUUAUAUGCGUGAAUCAACAAUUUAUUGACACACAUAUACUCUCACCUACUGCAUUCAAAGCAAUUCAAAUGGCACUCUAUGGUCAAAGGAUUCCUGAGCCAAAGUCAAGAAUCUCAUUACAUGCGUAAAUGGUGCAUGACAAUGGUUCUGGUUUGUCGUUGCAUGUGUGAAGAAUCAAAUGAAUAAAAUGAAGGGUAGCAUGGUAACUUCAUGUGUGUGACAUGGCUUUAAGCUCAUCCCUCUCUCAUUUCUCUUCACUCUUUAGAUGAUCCCCAACCCCUUCAAUUUCUCUCCAUGAGCUCCCUCACCUGCAUGUCACCCUUGAAGCAAAUGGGGUGGCACCCAAACAUUCGGCAUGAGCAGUGCCACCCCCAGAAGCAAACAAGCACUAAUGCUUUGUUUGGAUUGGAGAGUGAAAAGUUGAGAGUGUGAGAGAGUGGAAGUGUGAGGAUUUGAGAAGAAAGUGUGAAGAGAGUUUAGGGUGUUUGGAUUGGGGUAUGUUAGAGUAGAUGUGUGAGGAAAGUUUAUUGAAGUUUGUGAGUGAUGUGAUGAUUUUGUAAAAAUUAUUAAUUUUUUAAGAGAUGUAAAAUGUAAGUUUACAAAUUUACCCUUAUUUUUAAAAAUAUAUUAAUAAUAAAAAAUUAAAUAAUUUAUAUAUUUAUUUUUAUAAUUAAUAAUAAUUUUAUUAUUAUAUAAAUUUAUUUUUUAUAUAAAUAAUUAUAUUUAUAUUAUUAUUAUUUAUUUUAUUCUUAUUAUAACUUUUUUAAAUGUUUAUUAAUACCACGCUGCAUCUUGCACAUACAUUUUGGGGGUAAAAGUGAAAAAUAUCACUAUUGAUGUGACUUUCAGCUCAAUUCUUUGCAUGUAUGUGAAGAGAAGAUUUUAAUUCAUUCGCAUGUUUCCACGCCUUCAAAUUUGCACAUUUACCUUGAUCCGAACACAAAUAAUUUCAUACUUCCAUCGUCAACAACCGUAAAUACGUGGAUGCAAACACACCAUAAGGUUGUGUUUGGAUUGCGGAGAAGAUUUGAGGGAGUGGAAUUGAAGUGAUUUGAGAGGAAAGUGAGGUUGUUUGGAUUAAGGUAUGUUAGAGUGGAUUUGUGAGAAAAGUUUAUUGAAAUUUGUGAGUGAUAUGAUGGUUGUAAAUGAAUUUUUAAUUUUUUUAAAAUGUGUAAGAUGUAAGUUUAUAAAUUUAUCCUUAUCUUUAAAAAUAUUUAAUGUAAAAAAAUAUUUAUUUUUAUUGAAUAAUUUUAUUUUUAUUAUAAAUACAUUAAAAAAUAUUUUAAUAAAAUCAAAUUAAAAUUAAUUUAUUAUUAUUAUUAUUAAUUUUAUUAUUUAAUAAAUUUAUUUUAAUUAUUAUUAAAUAUGUAAUUUAUAUUUAUUAUUAUUGUUUACAAUGUAUUAUUAUUAUUGUAAUAUAUAUAAAGUGUUAUUUUGUAUGUAUAAAAAGUUAAGUAUAGUUUUGACGUAAUAUUAUAUAAUUUUUUGUUAGUUUCUUUGCCAUUCUUCGCCUGUAAGUAUUCGUUUUUCUCUCCUCACAAUUGAACAGAUACAAACGUAUAGUUUGCUCGCUUUUCAAUCCGAGAUUCACUCGUCGGAUGCAAACAAAGCCUAAGUGCGUUACCAAGAACAUCAAGAAAGAAACCACAUAUCAAUGGGUUUAUAUACGAUUCAUCUUUAUAUCUGUUAUAAUGUAUGUGCAUAUUAAUUAUGAGGAUGCAUCUACUAUACGAGUAAAUUUUUUUUUCUAUAAUCUACAAGAAACUAAGUUAUGGAGAGGGAGAGAGAGAGAGUGGCAUAUUGUAAAGAAAAGAGGGUAUGGGUUUAACUUUUUCUUAAAAAAAUUCCCUUUGGAAUAUGAAGAAAAGAACACGUGGAAAGUGUUUCAGAGAUGGGGAAGGGUUGUUGAUGUGUUAAUCUCUAAAUGAUUGAAUAACAAAAAUCAGAGAUUUGGUUUUCUUAAGUUUCAAGAUUUGGUAGAUGUGGUGGAGUUGGAAAGAAGAUUGGACUCCGUUUGGAUCGGAUACUGGAAGGUAAGGCUAAACAGACCGAAAUACAACAGAGACAGAGCGCCCAAGAGACGGGAGGUAUGUAGAACCCAAACCAAAAUUUAGUAGCGACAGAGAGCCAAGGAAGGAGUGGAAUGGUGAACCUACCAUGAAUCAGAGCCAUACAGUUUGGAAGGAAAAGAUGUUGUAUGCCUCCGUAAUAGAGAAAGGAGGUGAGGGGAAAACGAAGAUUACAUACCCAAUAGCGUUCAAGGCAGAGGUGAAUCAUUUGGAGUGGUUAGACAAUUGUUUCACUGGUAAAACUGUGGAAUUGAGUAAGGCUAAGGAUCUUAAUGAAAGUUUUAUUUUGGGAGGUUUUAAUUUUAUUCGUGUGCAUUACUUGGGAGGCAACUACGCCCCACUGUCCGGAGAAGAUGCAAACUUGAUUAAAAAGUCUAUAGAUGAGAAUAAAUAGUGGUUUGAAUCAAUUUUUGAAUCCAUUAUCCCUUAGGAGAAGGAUUUUGUGGUGUCAGAAAAAUUUGUUUGGGGUCGUAUUAGAGGGCUGCCCCUAAAUUUGUGGAGUAGGCAAAGCUUGGAAAGCAUAGCGUCUAUGUUCAGAAUGCUUGUAGAGAUUGACAACUCUACGUUGGAGAUGGAAGAACUAGAGUAUGCAAGAGUUUUAAUUAAAUUACCUAUAUCAAGGGAGACUCGUUGGGCAAACUGUAUGAUGAUUAAUAAAAGUAUGUGUCAAAUAGCUAUUGAAGAAGACCAUGUUUUUAAAGUUGAAAGGUGUUGUAAUCAUGACUUGGAAAAUUAUUUUGAUGAUGAUGAGCUUGGAAGUAAUUUAGGGGAGGAGUGUUUUGCUUUGGAAGGAUCGGAGAUUGGGAGGAAUUUAAAGUUUAAUGGCGGCAUUGGGGAGGAGACCAUGGUGGAGGCAGCAGAAGAACUUCUCUGUCGUGAGUCACAGAGGACUUACAUUGCUACAAAAGUUAUGGGUGUUGACGUGGAAGGUUAGUAACUUAGUGAGAUACAAAAUACUAGACGUCUUAAUGAGGCAACUGAUGAGUUAGGUGGACAAUUUGGGUGAUUUUAAUGAGGUAAUUGAUGAGUUAGAGGAGGAGCCUAGGCAAUUUAACGUUGCAAUUAAUGAGGUAGGUGGGCAGAAGCAAACCCUAACAAAAAUUAAAAGCUUAAAUGUUCAUAUUGGGCCUUUUGAGUGUGAUUCAGCCAAAUUCCAAAUGCUAGAGAGGGGGUGUGCUUAGCUAGAACAAGCCCAAUUUUUAGUGAAAGUGAAUUUUCUGGAGUUGGGAGUAGGACUGACGUGACCCUAGGUUGCAAUAAUAGGACAACGCACUUGAGUCGCUCCCUUGCCUUACUGUUACCGUCGCUUGCGACGCAACUCCGUGCCUCGCCGUCAUCGUCGCUUGCGACGCAGCUCCGUGCAUUGCCGUCAUCGCUGCUUGCGACGCAGCUCUGUGCCUCGCCAUUAACGCCACACACAGAGUUGUUUCGUGCCUCGCCGUUAACGUUUUCCGGAGACGGAGGGACAUUUGCGCCGACGUCUUCUUCGCGGUGUGGGAGCAGGUUCGACGCACGGAUGGAGGCGCCUGACACUGCCGCUUGUGACGCAACUUCUUCCUCUACCUGUCGCCUUGCCAUGCCUGUUACACUUGUCGAAGAUGGAGGUUUGGUGGUGGCGGAAACCCCUUCGGGAUGUGGUAGCGACCCAGCAUACUCUUUGGUGGUUCGUAGACCUUUGGGCGUUGCCACUGUACACUCUGGGGGCCUUUCUACGAGCUCUGCCACACACGUGCGCCUUCACCACCAUGCGACGCCGUACUCCGGUGAUGGACAUAAGUUGUUGGAGAUUGGAGAGUGUAGCAGUAGAAAACCACAAGAGGUGAGGUAUGCACGCUUUGAUGAACUGUCCCGCAAGACGGAUGUAAGGUUAGAUUCUAAUUCUAAAUGCAUUACUGAUAAUGGUGUUAAAAAUUGCAAUCGUCUGGUUAGGUUAAAUAACGAGAAUUUGGAAGCAGUUAGAGUCUGGAAUGUAGGACAGGAACUAGGUUUCUCUUGUCUGGGAAACGAGGAAGAAGUCUUAGAUAGUAUAAAAAGUCUGAAAGAAAGGGACAAUAGAAAUGAGGGUCUAAGUAGGGAUGGGCUAAAUGAUUUAGAUGAUGAAAAUGAUUAGUAUGAAUAUUAGGGGUUUAGGAGGAAGGGUAAAAAUGAAGUAUAUUAGUGAUCUCAUUAGAAAAGAACAAGUUGAAUUUAUUUGUCUUCAGGAAACAAAAUGUGAACAACUUAGUAAGGAAAGGUGUUAUCAAAUUUGGGGGUGAAAUGAAAUUGAUUGGAUUGAGAUUGGGGCAGUCAAUAAUGGUGGAAGGAUAGUUACUAUGUGGAAGAAAAAUUGCUUUGAACUGAAAAGAUACAGAAACGGGAACAAUUUUUCAAUCAUUGAGGGAGUGUGGAAGAUAGGAACACCAAUAGAAAUAACGAUAGUUAAUAUUUAUUGUGGUGGUACCUUAAGAGAGAAGAAAAUUAUUUGGGAUGAUCUAAGUGAGAUAAGAAAGAGUCACCUAAUAAAAUUGUGGUGUGUAGCUGGAGAUUUUAAUUCUAUCAGAUGUGUUGGGGAGAGAAGAGGCCAAAGCUUUAAUGUCAAUUAUGAAAGCGAAAUACGGAGUUUUAAUAAUUUUAUCGAAGAUUCUAAUAUGGUAGAUAUUCCGUUGGUGGGUAGAAAGUUUACUUGGUAUAAACCUAAUAGGACAGUUAAGAGCAGAAUAAAUAGAAUUUUAGUUUCACUUGAAUGGUUAGAGAAGUGGUCGGGUAGUAAACAGUAUGCGGAAGGGAGAUUAGUUUUGGAUCACUUUGUCUUGAUCUUAAAGGAUAUAAACAUUGGCUCGGGCCCAAAACCAUUUAUAUGUCUAGAUGUAUGGCAAAAAGAUGCUCGUUUUUAGGAACUCAUAAGGACUAAGUGGGAAAGCUAUGUUAUUAGGGGAAAUGGUUUGUAUAUUUUGAAGGAGAAGUUAAAAUUUGACAUAAGGAGUUGGAACAAAUUUGUCUUUGGAGAUGUUAAUAAACAAAGAGGGGAGUUGGAAAAGAGAAUACAAUUUCUGGAUGAAAAAGAUGAUGAGGGAGUGUUGAGUGUGGAAGGUAGAGAAGAAAGGAGACGACUUUUAGCUAAUUUGGGGCAAGCCAGAGUUAAACAAGAAGCGAUUUUACAGCAAAAAGCAAGGAUGAAAUGGGUAAGUCAUGGGGGUUUGAAUACAAAGUUUUAUCAUUCAAGUAUUAAGUGGAGAAGGAUACAAAACGGGAUUAGUGGUCUCACGGUUGGCGAUCAGUGGUGUGAUGACCCGAUCGAAGUAAAAGUUAGAGUGAAGGAAUUUUUUUAGGACAAGUUCAGUGAGGGGGAAAGAAAACUUGUUAGAUUGGAUAAUGUUUCGUUUAAGGGUAUCACAAGAGAAGAUAAUGAAAUGUUGAUUGAAACUAUAUCUGAGGCAGAAGUUAAGGAAGCGGUGUGGAAUUUUGAUAGUUCUAAAUUUGGUAGAAGUUAACUUUAGGUUUAUAAAAUUUUGUUGGGAUGUUAUAAAAGGAGAUGCUUUGAGUAUGGUACAAAGUUUUGCAAAGGGUGGGAGUUGGCCGAAAGGUACUAAUGCUUCCUUUAUUACUCUUGUCCCAAAGACUGUGAAUCCACAACUUUUGAAUGACUUUAGACCAAUGUCCUUGGUGGGAUGUGUGUAUAUAAUUGUAUCUAAAAUUCUUUCUUCAAGGUUGAAAAGGGUGUUGGAUAAAGUCAUUGACCCUAGUCAAUCUGCUUUUCUAGAAGGAAGGGGGUUGUUGGAUAGUGUGUUGGUAGCUAAUGAGACCCUUGAGGAAGUAAAGAGCAAAAAGAAAGAAUGUGUGGUGUUUAAGGUGGAUUAUGAAAAGGCUUAUGACUCUGUAAGUUGGGAGUUUAUUUACUAUAUGUUAGGAAGAUUGAGAUUUUGUGGAAAGUGGAUUGAGUGGAUAAAAAACCGUUUAGAAUCUUCCUCGAUAUCUGUGCUGGUAAAUGGAAAUCCAACAACUGAGUUUAAACCAAAGAAGGGCUUAAGACAAAGAGACCCUUUAGCACCAUUUCUUUUUCUUAUUGUGGUUGAAGGGCUUGCAGGGGUAGUUAGACAAGCGGAAGAGAAGGUGUUAGUUGAGAGUAUUGAGGUUAGGGAAGAGCGAGUAAAUGUGAGUAUGCUGCAAUAUGCAGACGACACUCUUUUUUUUUUGUAAAGCCUCAACUCAAAGUGUUCCGACCUUAAAAGCUAUUCUGAAGUGUUUUGAACUUGCCUAUGGUCUUAAGGUUAAUUAUUCCAAGAGCAAGGUUGGUGGAGUGGGUGUGAACGUCAACCAAACGAUGGUUUUUGCCUCUAUUCUUAAUUAUGAUAUUAUGAAGGCACAUUUUAGUUAUUUGGGGGUGACGGUUGGAGGGAAUCAUAAGAGGUGUAUUUUUUGGGAAUGGGUGCUUAAUAAACUACGGAGUAGGUUGUGCUCUUGGAAAGGAAAAUCCCUCUCUAUGGCUGGUAGAAUUUCCCUUAUCAAAUAUGUACUUACAUCCUUACCGUUAUUCUACGUCUCUUUCUUUUGUAUGCCAACUACUGUGGUGAAGGAAGUGAAAAGGAUACAAAAGAGUUUUUUGUGGGGUUGGGGUUCAGAGAACAGAAAAAUUGCCUAGGUGGCAUGGGACAAGGUUUGUGAGUCAAAAGAAAAAGGUGGAUUUGGGGUUGUUGAUACAAGAAAAUUUAACUUAGCUCUUCUGGGGAAAUGGAUUUGGAGACUUAAGUCUGAAAAGAGAAGUUUAUGGAAAGAUAUUCUAGACUCUGAGUAUGGUGGAUGGAGGGGAUUAAGGUCUCAAAAGAAUUGUAAGGAAUUGUUAUGGUGGAAGGACAUCUGAAAAGUUUGGAAAUUAGAGGAGUGGAGUAAUGACUUUGAAGAUAGAGGGAGGUGGGAAGUAGGGUAUGGAAAAGAAGUUCGAUUCUGGGAGGAUAAGUCAGUGGAAAAUGUCCCUUUAAUGCAAAAAUUCCUUAUACUAUUCUCUAUCUCCUUAGAUGUUGGUCAAACUCUAUCAUAAGUUGGGAUUUGGAGCAAUAAUAGUUGGUUGUGGAAGUUGAGAUGGAGAAGGGAUUUUUUUUGUGUGGAAAUCUAGCCUGGCUGAACUUUUAUAGCAGGUGUUGGAUAACAAGAGGCUUUCAAGAGAGGGUGAAGGUACGACCGAUAAAUGGCUGUGGAGGGAUGUAGAUUCUACAGACUUCUUUGUGAAGUCAGCCUAUAAUAUUCUUUUGGGGAGGAGUCUUCAGUGUAUGUGGACUUUUUCGCGGAGUUCUGGACAUUAAAAACCUUACCUUCGUCACAUUUUAGAGCUUGGAGGGUGUUAUCCAAUGCAAUUGCCACUAAGGACAAUCUCUUGAGACGUGGUAUUCUAUGGUGUAUGAUCGGUGUCCACUAUGUGGUGUGGAAGAAGAGACGGUAAGACAUCUCUUUUUUGAGUGUAGGGUCUCUUGGAGAAUUUGGGGACUGUGUCUCAAGUGGUUGGGGUUUUCUUUGGUUUUACAUUGCGAUGCACAUAUGCAUUUUAAGAUGUUUAAACCUAUAGGUUUGAAACAUGUUAUUAUUAAGUGUUGGGGGGGAUUUGGGUAGGUAUUGUAAGUGAAAUUUGAAAUCAUAGGAAUAAUUUGUCUUUAAGGAUGGGCGAGUAGAUCUAGUUGAGGUCUUUACUAUGGUACAAAGGAAGACUUGGUCUUGGGUUACUGUAAAGGAAAGAUUGGUUGAUUUCUCUUAUUCAGACUGGUGUUUGGAACCUCUUUGUUGUAUGAGUUAUAUGAGAGUUUGAUGUUUGGUGACUCAUAUUUAACAUUUUUUGUCCAGGUUUGGAAGUGUUAGCAUUAAACUCAAAGCCUUCAGCCGUCAUCAGUUUUAUUUUAGCAUCUGAAUAGACAAUAAUUAUUAUCUUUAAUUCUAGUUUUGAAAGUCAUUUAUACUAUGAUUUAAAUGUAAAUUAUAGUAUAGGUUUUAUGAGAGAGAAGGUAGAAUUUGAGAAGUCUAUUGUAAGACUAUUUAGAGAGAUUGUAUUCUUAUUUGAAAAAUAACAGUGAAAUAAAAUAUAUAUUUUCUGUUCACAAAUAUCUUGCUCUGUUUUAUUCCCUCAACACCAACAAUUGGUAUCAGAGCUAUUUUCUUGAGGGAUUUGUGAGGUUAGUAGAGUGCACCAAUGGAAGGAGGAUCAAAUUUUUCAGCAAUGGCACCACCUGUCUUUGAUGGAGACAGUUAUCAAAUGUGGGUUGUUCGUAUGGAGACCUAUCUAGAAGCAUUGGAUUUAUGGGAAGCUGUAGAAGAGGACUAUGAAAUUUAGUCCCUUCCAGAAAACCCUACGGUGGCACAAAUAAAAUCACAGAAAGAUAAAAAGAUGAAGAGUUCAAAGGCAAAAGCAUGCCUAUUUGCAGCUGUAUCUCCUAUGGUAUUCACAAGGAUAAUGUCCUUGAAGUCAGCAAAAGAAAUCUGGGAUUACCUCAAGGCAGAAUAUGAAGGUGAUGAGAGGAUUCGGGGAAUGCAAGCCCUGAAUCUAAUCAGAGAGAUUGAAUUGCAGAAAAUGAAGGAGUCGGAAUCCAUAAAAGAGUACUCAGACAGACUUCUAACCAUUGCCAACAAAGUGAGGUUGCUUGGAUCUGUGUUUAAAGAUUCAAGAAUUGUGGAAAAACUGUUUGUAACAGUUCCAGAGAGGUUUGAAGCCACCAUAACAACCCUGGAGAACACAAAGGACCUAUCAAAGAUUUCUCUUGCAGAGCUCUUAAAUGCUUUACAAGCACAAGAACAAANNNNNNNNNNNNNNNNNNNNNNNNNNNNNNNNNNNNNNNNNNNNNNNNNNNNNNNNNNNNNNNNNNNNNNNNNNNNNNNNNNNNNNNNNNNNNNNNNNNNAAUAGAAGGAACCUUACUAGUCAAACAUGAAGGUGGCUGGAGAAACAAAGGUAGAAAUUAUCCUCCUUGUAAGCAUUGCAACAAGUUAGGUCAUCCACCGUUUAAGUGUUGGAGAAGACCUGAUGCUAAGUGCAACAAGUGCAAUCAACUUGGGCAUGAAGCAAUUAUUUGUAGAAACCAAAGUGAGCAACAAGAUGUAGAUGCUCAAAUUGCAAAUGAGGAGGAGGAUGUGCUUUUCGUUGCAACUGGUUUUUGCAGCAAUAUUUCAAGUGCAUCUUGGUUAAUUGACAGUGGCUGCACCAACCACAUGACACAUGACAAGGAACUCUUCAAGGAAUUGAGAACUAUUGAUGUUAAAAGGGUGAGGAUUGGAAAUGGUGAACACCUGGCAGUAAAAGGAAAAGGCACAAUAGCUAUCACAAGCUAUAAAGGUAUAAAAAUCAUUACAGAUGUUCUUUUUGUGCCAGAGAUUGAUCAAAACCUUUUGAGUGUUGGUCAAUUGUUGAAAAAAGGCUAUAAGGUGAUGUUUGAAAAUAAACAUUGUUUAAUCAAAGAUGUUGAUGGCAGAGAUUUGUUUAAAGUUGAAAUGAAGGGAAAAAGUUUUGCUCUCAAUCCAAUGGAGGAGGAGCACAUUGCCUUUAAAUCCAAAGAAAAUGUCACAGAAAUUUAUGUACCUGACUUGAAGAAUAAUAUUCUCAGUAUGGGAAAAUUAUUGGAGAGUGUUGAAGCAAAAUUUGAUAACUUGGAAAAAAGGUUUACAAAAUUGGAAGAAAAAUAUGUUGAUAUGGAGAAAGACAAGGAAAGUAGAGUCAAUCAAGUUGAAGAACUCCAUUUGUUGCUUUUGGCACAAAAAGAAAAGGUGAAUGAAUUACAAUUCAAAUUAAAAGCCCCUUUUGGUUCAUGUGUUUUACUUGAAAAUAAUGGUUUUGACUUAGGAGAAGACCAUAAAUGGAAUGGUGUUGAGACAUCAUCUGAAAGAGAAAUAUGGUAUAAUCAUUAUCUUCGAAGCUCAUUGAAGUCAAAGUCUUUCUUAAAUCCUUUUAAUUCAAAGGGUGAAAGUGGAGAAGAUUUUGUUUGGAAAAUUAAAAGUAAUUCAAUUCAAAAUUCUGCACGGAUUGAUGCAGUGAAGGAAAAUAUUGGAGGCAGUGUGAGCGAUGACAAUCAGAAAAGCAACAAUCUGAAUGAAUAAUAUGAAAGGUUUGAGUUUAAGGGGGAAUUUGUUAGCAUUAAACUCAAAGCCUUCAGUCGUCAUCAGUUUUAUUUUAGCAUCUGAAUAGACAAUAAUUAUUAUCUUUAAUUCUAGUUUUGAAAGUCAUUUAUACUAUGAUUUAAAUGUAAAUUAUAGUAUAGGUUUUAUGAGAGAGAAGGUAGAAUUUGAGAAGUCUAUUGUAAGACUAUUUAGAGAGAUUGUAUUCUUAUUUGAAAAAUAACAGUGAAAUAAAAUAUAUAUUUUCUGUUCACAAAUAUCUUGCUUUGUUUUAUUCCCUCAACACCAACAGGAAGUUUGUGUGUUUUGUGCAGGUUUUUUUUUUGGCUUUUGAUUCUACCUGGCAAGGUCAAGUUGAUGGAUUUGAUCUCGGGUUACAGUAAAGAAAAUGUUAUUUGUUCUAUCCCACUCGGUUUGGUGUUGGAAUCUUUAUGAUGUAUGAGUUUUGAGAGAUGGAUUUUUGGUGAUUAUGGUUAUGAUUUAACCACAUUUGGAAGUUGUGGUGUACUUUGUGUAGAUUCAUUUUGGUUUAUUUAUUCCUCUCGUAGGGUCGGUUUGUUAGUUUAAACACUUGGAUAUUUAGUGUACUUUUGGUUAUUGGCAAAGUUCUUGUUUAGUUGUUGGUUUUUGUGUCCUGAUUAGAGGGUGUGUUUUCUUUGGGACGUUGUUGUUCUGUAUUUGUUGAAAUCUUGUAUCUUGUUCUGGUUUGUUAUUAUGGUUAUUGUGUUGUAAUGUCUGUCGGUUUCCUAGUUGGUUGGGUGUUAGGAACUUGAUUUGGAAUUUUGUAUAAGGAUUGAGCACCUUGAAGUGCCUCACUUUAUUUUAUUUAUUUUUUGCUGAUAAAAAAAUUAAUAUAUAAAUGGUUGUAAAAAUGAAAAACUUAUUGUUUUUGUUGUAUAACUAUAUAACAAUUAUAACAAUUGAUAAAAAAUUAAAAUAUUUUUAUAAAAUCACUUUAAAAAUUCAAAUUUUUAUAACUUUUUCAUUGCAAUAUUCAAUAAUGGUUCAUAUUAUUUUAUUUAAAUUUUAAAAAUACAAACACAUAAAUAACAAUGGUUUUCCUCUACUUAAAAAUAAAUGGUAUAUAUGGCGUAGGACUAUGGAUGUGAAUUUUAGGAUUUUCUAUCUUCCUCUCUCUCCUUCAUCUUCUUUCCGUCUUUUUUUUUCUUCUUUACUUUGCCUAUAUCUCUCCUCUCUUUAUCAUUAUACUUAUUUCUAAACUGUAAAUAUUUAAAGAUUGACUGGUACUUUUUUUAAGUUUAAUGUCAAAAAUUUAAUUUUUAAUUCAUUUUACAUAGCUAAAAUUAAAUUGUCCCAUCAGGAUUAAGAAUUUUCAAUUAAAAAUAAUAAUUUAUCCGAUCAAUUUUUAAAAAAAUUCAAUUCAAACUUAAACGUUUCAAUCUUAAAAAAUUUGACAUCUAAACGCAACUGAAGAAUAUAUUUUUACUUGAAAUGGGAGAAAUAUAUGUUGAGAUUUCUCGUGGAUAUAUAUAACAUUUUUGUGUAUUUUAGGGUGUAAAGGUUUAGCUUUAGUAGUUUUAUGUUUAAAUGGGCCAUGAUGAAACUUGUAGCAGAGCUCCAUUAAUGGCGCUUGCACAGGUCCGUGUUUAAAGAAGAAAAUGUUGAGUGCCCUACAAGAGGACCAAAAAUAAUGAAGUAUUAAAGAAUCCUAACACGAAAAUGAAUAUUAGUACUAUAGCCUACAAAUGGUCAACAAUCAUAAUUUCAGAGGUCUUUGUCUCUUUGAAGUGGGGUAUGGCACUGUUUACAUUAUUGCCCCAAAUCGAAUGCCCUAGAACAAAGAGGAAUAUUUUUUUUUCAAUUCAAAAGUUUAAGUGAGUUCAAUUUUGAAAUUUAAAGUUGAAAAGACACUUGUACAUAUAUAAAUUCAAUCCAGACUAGACGACAAAAUUUAAAGUUAAACACGUAGUUAGAUAUAAAUAAGUCAAUUUAGGUAAUAAAUACGGUUAAGGCACAAUUGGAUAUUCGUUUGAACUCUAAAGCAGAUCUAUAGUAGCCAGAACUUAUUUAAAGUAGUAUAAAUAGUAGAAGGGGCACAACACCCAAAGAAACUAUUCAUUCCCUACUCUUCUGGUAUGUAGCUCUCGGACUGACUUGAUCGUCGAAGUGUCUUCGCAGGUACUCCCCCAUCAUGUCCAGAUCAAAGGAGAUACAACCAAAAAAGCCUAACCGAAAGACGAGAAGAUUGUAACAGAAAGUAGUGUUGUACAAGGUUUAAGCUUUGUAGAAACACGUACCAAUAUUAAUUCUAGUUUCGUGAUGUUGGAAUAUUUAUAUCUAUAAGUCAAGACUAAUUUACAUAAAAUUAAAAAAUUAAAAAUAGAAAAGCUACAUAAAAUAAAUUUACAAAUAGAUUAUACAUAAACUAUUUUUAACUUUUAAAUUGUGUAUACAAAAAUUUAUCCAAAUAUAUUCUAUAUUGAAAUGUCUUAACUCCUUCUCAGAUCAGGCUUUUAACGUUUCGCAUGUUUCAAUUUUUUAAUUUAAAUUAUUAUUAAUAAAUUCCAUAUAUAAAUUAUAUUUUAUUUAUUAAUAAAUUUAUGCAAUUAAAAUAUGUGCACAUAAGUAUAUUGUUAGAGGUUAUUUGAGGAGUUUCAUUAGUUACUCAUUUAAAAUUUUAUAUAAAAAAUCCUUUACAGUUAUUUCAAUUCAAAGAAGAAAAACGGUAUUAAAUUAGAUAUAGAGAUUAAAUUUCUUAAAAAUAUAGUUUGACUCUUAAUUUGUUUUUAAACUCUUUUGUGAUCGGAUUAAAGUUAAGAAAACUUGUCUGUCUUAUGAGAUGAGUUACUUAAAAAAGAAAAAUCAUCACUUAAAUUGAAUUGAUAUUUUUAAACCUCCAAUUAGUUGUUUUGAUAUUUUAAAUUAAUUUUUAUGAAAGUACGUAUUAUUUUGGUAUUUUAAAUUAUUUUUUGCAGAAAUACGUUAUUUUUUAUUAAAAAAAUAAAUUUGAUUAAAUAAUGAAAUAUUUUUAAUUAAAACAAUGAUAAAUAUUGUGUAGGUGUGAUAGAUAUGGGAAAUGUGUGUGCUUGUGUAAAUUUAAAAAUAAUAUAAAUAAUUUUAGGAUAAUAAUACAUUAACAACUCAUAUUUUUUAUCCAAUCAUAUUAUUAUUUUAAUUUUUUUUCAGUUAUAUAUGGUCAAAUAUCAUUUUCCUAACUUUUAAAAAAAAUGUUGAAAAAAUAUUACCUGUCUACAAGUAGAGUGCGGUAUAGGAACGGUUACUUCCACUUAAGUUUCAUUCAAUAAAAUAUACUUUGAAAAUUACAAAUUUAGUUUUUUUAAAACAAAACAAAGCUUAAAUUCAGUAAAUUUUGAUCAUAAAAUGUUUAAUCCAAAUCAACUUAUUUUAGUGAAUAGAAUCCUAAAGUUGAAUCAAAUUAAACUAUUUCAAAUCAUGUACAGUCUCAAUUAAUUGGAUUGGGAAUUAAACUGAUGCGUGGUGGGGAGUUUUAUAUACAUCCAAUCAACAAUUAUUAAAUAUUAUUCAAAAAAGAAAUUCUAAAGCACAAAUAAAUAGUAGAUUAUUGAAUUAAAUUUCUUUCCAUACAUUUUUUUUACAUCAAACAAAGUUAUGAAAAAGAAAAAGAAAGAGGAAAGGUACAGAAAGCUUUUUUGUAUAUGCAAGAGAUGAUACAUACACAAUAAUAAUAAUAAAAAAGUAAAGUAUGCAUGAAGAAGAAGCACAAAAGAUAAGAAAGCCCACAAGUGUUUGAUAUGAUGAAAUGAAAACAAAGCACACCACAAUCAUCUCCAACCAAACCCCACAACACAACCCUUCUCUCAAUCUCAGUGACCACCACUCUCCUUUUCUUUCUCCUCCUCUGUCUUUGAGUGGUAACCAGGAAGCUUCUCUUUUAUCUUCUCCAAUAUACCUUUCUUCUCCUUCGCCUCUCCUUCAUGUUCCGAUGAGGUGGCAGCAGGUGGUGGCGGAGGAGGAGCUGCCGCCUCCUCACUCUUCUUGUGCCCUGGUAGCUUCUCCUUAAUCUUCUCCAGGAACCCCUUCUUUUCCUCACUUUCCACAACCUCAACUUUCUCCACUGGAACACUCGUGUCUUCCUUGUGAUAACCCUCUAUUUUCUCCUCGAUCUUCUUCUUCUCCUUCUUCUCCUUCUUCUUCUUCUUCUUUUUCUCCCCGUCUUCUCCUUCCUCCUC